CCCACACCAGCCAACCGGCCCAUCCGCCCCCCGACCUGGUCAAGGAGGGGUAUCGCCUCAGCAGGACCAACGACAGCUAGGCCGCCGCCGGCACCGCCAGCACCGCUGCCGUGCACAUCGUCGUACUCUCCGCCAUCUUCACCGGUGUCAUCGUCUUCUAAAAGGGACGCUGCUGCCGCCGCUGCACCGGAGCUGGCGGCGCCAGAGCUGACUCCAGCAGCCGCCGGCGCCCCGAGAAGCAGCGCCGCCGCCGCCGCCGCCAGCCAACACACACACACACACACACACACACACACAUACACACAUACACACAUACACACAUACACACACGCGCGCGGGAGAAGAGAAAACACCCCGGUGGUUCAUAUAGACGGUGUAGGACGUGAUUAUAGCAAUUUGCGAGCUGACCAGGAAAUAAGUUGAGGCGCCGUUGAUCCGCUAGAUUUGGUUGGAUGCUGGUGGUGAGUUGCUGAACCCAACGAAUACAUUCUGAAGUCGGAUGGGGUGAACGGAUUAGGGUGCCCCUCUAUCAGGGGAGAGCAGGGACUGCCUCGGGAAGGAGGCCACUGGUGAAGCUGUACCACCCUGUAACAACAACAGCAACAACAAUACUCCCACUACAUGUCAUUGCAAGGUACUGCCACUCAUAGACACUAGUUGGGGCUCUGCAGGUAAAACCCUUUCCGCAACCCCUUAGAAACCCUUUGCCAUCCCUUUCUUCACACACCCCCAUUCCCCCGUAACCCAAACGUUUCCCUCUUUUCCCUGUGAGUAACCCCUCCCCCCCCCAACACACACGCACGCAGAUCCCCCCCUUCGUCCCACAACCCGCCCCCAGCACACACAUACACACAAUCCUCGGUUCCCAAGCCUUCCAACCCUUCCCCCCUUCCGUACCUCUGAAACCACGACAGUACGACAUUACCUAGGAGGUUUCCGAGGUGAAG
This 947-nucleotide long non-coding RNA is filed under the name Volvox carteri. RNAcentral describes it as "long non-coding RNA (VCAR_LNC002523)". Lineage: Eukaryota; Viridiplantae; Chlorophyta; Chlorophyceae; Chlamydomonadales; Volvocaceae. The record is from RNAcentral.